This is a non-coding RNA of Triticum aestivum (bread wheat), 124 nucleotides long. The record is from Rfam. Lineage: Eukaryota; Viridiplantae; Streptophyta; Magnoliopsida; Poales; Poaceae.
GUACUACUCCCUCCGUUCAAAAAAGCUUGUCUCUCAAAUGAAUGUAUCUAACAUUGUUAGUGCUAAAUACAUUCAUUUGAGGGACAAGCUUGGGACAAGUUUUUCCGGAUGGAGGGAGUAGAUU